UGUCCUAAAGAAUGUGGAAUAUACAGGAUGA
Molecule: non-coding RNA, 31 nt
Filed under: Rattus norvegicus (Norway rat)
Lineage: Eukaryota; Metazoa; Chordata; Mammalia; Rodentia; Muridae
Source: RNAcentral